CAAUUUACAGCCCUCUUUACCACUAAUUAAGAGUGUCAAACUGACAAUACCGAAUACCAUAAUUAGCAUGACAAUGUUUAAAGGGAGCAAUGAAAUGAAGUCUCGUUGAAACUGGGGUUCUAUCACUUGCAUCAUAUGUUUUACUUGUGUUGGUUCACAACUAUCAAUGAGUUCAUCUAAAGCAAGCAAUUUCUCUGGUCCACUCCAGCUCUAUCAAAGAGAAUUAGAAAUUUUUAUUGUUUUAACAGAUGUCCCAAAUUACAGGCUUAUAAAGGAAAACUCACAUCUACACACAACCAUAGUUGAUCAGGGUAGAACUGUAUAAAAAGUGGCUCCUUAUAGUGACAUUUUUUCCACAAGGCAUUGAAGAAG
Homo sapiens (human) is the source of this 372-nucleotide long non-coding RNA. Ensembl annotates it as FBXW7 antisense RNA 1. Its record names the gene FBXW7-AS1. The record is from Ensembl. Lineage: Eukaryota; Metazoa; Chordata; Mammalia; Primates; Hominidae.